GUAAUCAACCUCCGAUCUGCUGAGAAACACUGCAAAAAUGACUUCCUCUGCCAAAAAUAAUAAUGUCGUUUACAAGCAGCUCUUCCAUGUCUAAGGAAGAACUAGCCCCACGUGUGAGUUUAUGCUGGCUUCGGGGGAGCAAGCAAGGAAAAGGGCAAAUCCUACCAACCCCAGCCUAAAAUACCCCGUAUCAGAAUCCACGGGAAGCUGUGGCCCAUUCCAAAGGUGCUGGCAAUAUCCAGGAAGAUUCGUAUCCACAAAAAUCCAAAGGGCAGCCCAGUUAAGCGUGAUCAUGUCCAUGGGCUUAUCUCUACAGAACAGGCAGAGACAUUAAUGUACAAUGAAGAAGUUUUUUGUUUUGUUUUUGCAAAUGUUUCAUUGAGCUACGGGCAGAGCUUGAAGAGAUGAGCUGAAACAAGGAUACAGGUAAAUGGAAAUCGCGGCUCUUCAACCACAGCAUUACUCAUUGUGAUUUGUUUUGAACUCGUUGCAGAGUCAAAUAACACUGUUGCAGUUACCCCUGGUUCACUGCCAUCCAGAAGUAGGUGAUCCUCCUUCUGACACAUCAUCAGAAGAUGAUGGUGGAAAAGCAUGAAAUAGUCAUCACCUUGUGAAAUGUACUGCAAAUGACUUGAGAUAACAACAGUACAGCUCUUGACCAAGAGUUAUAGUUGCCAAGAAGUAUCUACUAUUUGAUGAUUAAUUUAAUAUGCAGAAGUAAGUGACAGGCUGAUCUCUGGCCUCCGCCUGUCUGUACUGGGUGCCUUGCUCAGCUACUUGGAAUCUUCUGCUGCAACGGAGCUUAGAAAGUCCCAGCACCUGGCGAAGAGGGAUGGAGGCGAGUGACAGAAGGAGAACAAAUUCAUCCAUUUGCACUGUACUUCGCAAAAGUAAAAAAACGUGCCUCCAAAGAGGGCCUCUUAUGUGCUCUCUUUAUCUCUUUGUGGUCUGACUGAGGCAGGAACUACCAUCUCCAAAAACACUGGGACUCAUACGUGUUAAAUGAUCUGCUUAAGGUCACGCAGUUUGGAAGCAUUUCAAAUCAGUUUUAGUCUGUAUCUUCCAAAUACAGCUCCAGGAUUCUUUCCACUCGUUCAUUCCAACAUCUCUAUUCUGGGACUAUUAUCAGAAGUGCCUGAACUUGUCUUUGGGAAAUCCCGUCAUUCACUCAAGUGCUUCAUGAGGCGCUUUGAUUGUGAAAACAGAAGAAAUCCCAAAGCUUUGCUAUGAUAAUAAAUAAGAAUGUUAACAGUCUAUUAAAAUAAGAUGUAAGGAUUUAGGAAGAUAUGUAUACCCUCACUGUAUCUUCUCAAAAGCAGAGUGAGUAAUAUUGCCAGAAGGUUCACCCAUAACAGACAGGAGGAAAAUAAUAGCAGUAGACAGUUCUGUCUCUGGGAUAGGUAAGUUUUUUUUUCCCCCAGGAAUGUAGAGAAAAUGAUGAGAUUGUCUUAGGCUUAAUACUCCCUAAUUUUCAUUCCAUACAAAUAGCAUAGUACCAACUGUGGACAGGAUAGUAAAAUCCCUUUUGAGAAGUGCAAUGAAAAAGGUAUGAUUUUAGACUUUGGAUCAAAGACUUUGAAUUCAGGCUAACUAGAGCUCCUUGUAAGGUUGUCGCUAAAAUGAAAUAAAAUAAGACAAAAGUUGUUACAGAG
Non-coding RNA from Leptonychotes weddellii (Weddell seal), 1652 nucleotides. NCBI's taxonomy places the organism in Eukaryota, Metazoa, Chordata, Mammalia, Carnivora, Phocidae. The record is from RefSeq and is a predicted model, not a curated record.